GCUAGGAUGAAAAUUUUGUCCUGCAUUUUUUUUUAGCUGUAAUCUCUGUCCUGCCUUUUUAUUUUUGACUCUGUUCGGUCCUGCCUUUUUUUUUUUAUAGUUUAUCCUGACUUUUUUUACCUAAAUUGUCGUCCUGACUUUUUUUUUUGCAAGUGUCUCAUCCUGCCUUUUUUUUUACUCAAAACUCCUGUCCUGCCUAUUUUUUUUCAAAUUUCAUCCUAGCCCCCCCCCCCC
RNAcentral lists this long non-coding RNA (234 nucleotides) under Mytilus galloprovincialis (Mediterranean mussel). The record is from RNAcentral. Lineage: Eukaryota; Metazoa; Mollusca; Bivalvia; Mytilida; Mytilidae.